Ornithorhynchus anatinus (platypus) is the source of this 138-nucleotide small nucleolar RNA. The record is from RefSeq and is a predicted model, not a curated record. NCBI's taxonomy places the organism in Eukaryota, Metazoa, Chordata, Mammalia, Monotremata, Ornithorhynchidae.
CCCCUCUCAGGAUCGCACUUGGAGAGUUUCCAGAACUCUACCAGGCUCAGCUACAGGGGGGAAAGUCAAGCAGAAGUAUUCCCAUUCCAUUCCCAGUCUGAGCAGUGGCUAGCUAGUGGAAGGUGAUCUGCUAGAAGU